GAUGAACGCUGGCGGCGUGCCUAAUACAUGCAAGUCGAGCGAACGGACGAGAAGCUUGCUUCUCUGAUGUUAGCGGCGGACGGGUGAGUAACACGUGGAUAACCUACCUAUAAGACUGGGAUAACUUCGGGAAACCGGAGCUAAUACCGGAUAAUAUUUUGAACCGCAUGGUUCAAAAGUGAAAGACGGUCUUGCUGUCACUUAUAGAUGGAUCCGCGCUGCAUUAGCUAGUUGGUAAGGUAACGGCUUACCAAGGCAACGAUGCAUAGCCGACCUGAGAGGGUGAUCGGCCACACUGGAACCGAGACACGGUCCAGACUCCUACGGGAGGCAGCAGUAGGGAAUCUUCCGCAAUGGGCGAAAGCCUGACGGAGCAACGCCGCGUGAGUGAUGAAGGUCUUCCGAUCGUAAAACUCUGUUAUUAGGGAAGAACAUAUGUGUAAGUAACUGUGCACAUCUUGACGGUACCUAAUCAGAAAGCCACGGCUAACUACGUG
Molecule: ribosomal RNA, 497 nt
Filed under: uncultured bacterium
Lineage: Bacteria
Description: partial 16S ribosomal RNA
Rfam family: Bacterial small subunit ribosomal RNA
Source: RNAcentral